This 1098-nucleotide ribosomal RNA is filed under the name uncultured delta proteobacterium. RNAcentral describes it as "bacterial SSU rRNA". It matches the Rfam family "Bacterial small subunit ribosomal RNA", at positions 9 to 1082 of the family's 1533-position model. The record is from RNAcentral. Lineage: Bacteria; Deltaproteobacteria.
GAGUUUGAUCCUGGCUCAGAGCGAACGCUAGCGGCGUGCCUAACACAUGCAAGUCGUACGAGAAAGUCCCCUUCGGGGGAUGAGUAAAGUGGCGCACGGGUGAGUAACGCGUGGGUAAUCUACCCUCGAGCGGGGGAUAACCUGCCGAAAGGUGGGCUAAUACCGCAUAAUACCCCAGGUCGCAUGUCCUGGGGUCAAAGGCGGGGACCCUUCGGGGCCUGUCGCUUGAGGAUGAGCCCGCGUCCCAUCAGCUUGUUGGUGAGGUAAUGGCUCACCAAGGCUAAGACGGGUAGCUGGUCUGAGAGGACGAUCAGCCACACUGGCACUGGAACACGGGCCAGACUCCUACGGGAGGCAGCAGUGAGGAAUAUUGCGCAAUGGGCGAAAGCCUGACGCAGCGACGCCGCGUGAGGGAAGAAGGCCUUCGGGUCGUAAACCUCUGUCGGGGGGGAAGAAACCCCUGGGGACUAAUAAUCCCCAGGCUUGACGGUACCCCCAAAGGAAGCAUCGGCUAACUACGUGCCAGCAGCCGCGGUAAUACGUAGGAUGCAAGCGUUGCUCGGAAUUACUGGGUGUAAAGCGCGCGUAGGUGGCUUGGUAAGUCAGGGGUGAAAUCCCUCGGCUCAACCGAGGAAUUGCCUCUGAAACUGCCUGGCUUGAGUACGGGAGAGGGAAGCGGAAUUCCUGGUGUAGCGGUGAAAUGCGUAGAUAUCAGGAGGAACACCGGUGGCGAAGGCGGCUUCCUGGACCGAUACUGACACUGAGGCGCGAAAGCGUGGGGAGCGAACAGGAUUAGAUACCCUGGUAGUCCACGCCCUAAACGAUGGGCACUAGGUGUGGGGGCUUAAAAGUCUCCGUGCCGAAGCUAACGCAUUAAGUGCCCCACCUGGGGAGUACGGCCGCAAGGUUGAAACUCAAAGGAAUUGACGGGGGCCCGCACAAGCGGUGGAGCAUGUGGUUUAAUUCGACGCAACGCGAAGAACCUUACCUGGGCUUGACAUCCGGAGAAUCCCCUGGAAACAGGGGAGUGCCCUUCGGGGAACUCCGUGACAGGUGCUGCACGGCUGUCGUCAGCUCGUGCCGUGAGGUGUUGGGUUA